GACGAUCAGUAGCCGGUCUGAGAGGAUGAACGGCCACAUUGGAACUGAGACACGGUCCAGACUCCUACGGGAGGCAGCAGUGGGGAAUCUUCCGCAAUGGGCGCAAGCCUGACGGAGCAACGCCGCGUGAGUGAAGAAGGGUUUCGACUCGUAAAGCUCUGUUGUCGGGGACGCGGUACCUGACGAGGAAGCCACGGCUAACUACGUGCCAGCAGCCGCGGUAAUACGUAGGUGGCGAGCGUUGUCCGGAAUUAUUGGGCGUAAAGGGAGCGCAGGCGGGAGAUCAAGUCUAUCUUAAAAGUGCGGGGCUCAACCCCGUGAGGGGAUGGAAACUGGUCUUCUUGAGUGCAGGAGAGGAAAGCGGAAUUCCUAGUGUAGCGGUGAAAUGCGUAGAUAUUAGGAGGAACACCAGUGGCGAAGGCGGCUUUCUGGACUGUAACUGACGCUGAGGCUCGAAAGCGUGGGGAGCGAACAGGAUUAGAUACCCUGGUAGUCCACGCCGUAAACGAUGAAUGCUAGGUGUAGGACUGUGCCGGAGUUAACGCAA
Molecule: ribosomal RNA, 547 nt
Filed under: uncultured bacterium
Lineage: Bacteria
Description: bacterial SSU rRNA
Rfam family: Bacterial small subunit ribosomal RNA
Source: RNAcentral